RNAcentral lists this ribosomal RNA (468 nucleotides) under uncultured bacterium. RNAcentral describes it as "partial 16S ribosomal RNA". It matches the Rfam family "Bacterial small subunit ribosomal RNA", at positions 28 to 507 of the family's 1533-position model. The record is from RNAcentral.
GAUGAACGCUGGCGGCGUGCUUAACACAUGCAAGUCGAACGGACAGACCAUGCUUUUGUGGGUCGCUCGAUUGCCGAACGCGGGAGUAUAACGUGUGUAUAACCUCCCUGUCUUUCGGAUAUCACCACGGAAAUGCGGCUCAUACCCGAUAGGAGCUCCUGCUGCAUGGGGGGGGUUGGUGAGUGUGGGCCGUUGGGGAUGGAUUGGCGGCUUAUCAGCCGGUUGGUGGGGUAGUGGAUUACCAAGGGUUAGACGGGUAGGCGGCCUGAGAGGGUGACCGGGGACAUUGGUACUGAGGGACGGCCCAGACUCGUACGGUAGGCAGCGGUGGGGAAUAUUGCGGAAUGGGGGGAAGCCUGAUGCAGCAACGCCGCGUGCGGGAUGACGGGUUUCGGGUGGUAAACCACUUUGGAAUGUGACGAAGCGUGAGUGACGGUAAUGGGUAAAGAAGCAACGGCUAACUACGUG